UAAUUGAAGAGUUUGAUCAUGGCUCAGAUUGAACGCUGGCGGCAGGCCUAACACAUGCAAGUCGAGCGGCAGCACAAGUAAGUUUACUUAUGAGGUGGCGAGCGGCGGACGGGUGAGUAAUGCCUAGGGAUCUGCCCAGUCGAGGGGGAUAACAGUUGGAAACGACUGCUAAUACCGCAUACGCCCUACGGGGGAAAGAGG
This 201-nucleotide ribosomal RNA is filed under the name Shewanella xiamenensis. RNAcentral describes it as "partial 16S ribosomal RNA". It matches the Rfam family "Bacterial small subunit ribosomal RNA", at positions 1 to 209 of the family's 1533-position model. Lineage: Bacteria; Pseudomonadati; Pseudomonadota; Gammaproteobacteria; Alteromonadales; Shewanellaceae. The record is from RNAcentral.